Molecule: ribosomal RNA, 2900 nt
Filed under: human oral metagenome
Description: bacterial LSU rRNA
Rfam family: Bacterial large subunit ribosomal RNA
Source: RNAcentral
CUAAGUGACAAAGCGUACAAGGUGGAUGCCUUGGCAAUCAGAGGCGAAGAAGGACGUGCUAAUCUGCGAAAAGCUUGGAUGAGUCGAUAAGAGGCGUUUAAUCCAAGAUGUCCGAAUGGGGAAACCCAGUAGAUGAAGAAUCUACUAUCACUUACUGAAUUCAUAGGUAAGUGAGGCGAACCGGGAGAACUGAAACAUCUAAGUACCCCGAGGAAAAGAAAUCAACCGAGAUUUUGUGAGUAGCGGCGAGCGAAAGCGAAAGAGCCUGUUAGUGAUAGCGACAGAGACAGAGGAACAAGCUGGGAAGCUUGGCGACACAGGGUGAUAGCCCCGUACUCGAAGUCCAGGUCGUGGUACUAAGCUAACGAGAAGUAGGGCGGGACACGUGAUAUCCUGUUUGAAGAUGGGGGGACCAUCCUCCAAGGCUAAAUACUCCUGAUUGACCGAUAGUGAACCAGUACUGUGAAGGAAAGGCGAAAAGAACCCCGGUGAGGGGAGUGAAAUAGAACCUGAAACCUUGUACGUACAAGCAGUGGGAGCCCUUUAAGGGUGACUGCGUACCUUUUGUAUAAUGGGUCAGCGACUUAUAUUUUGUAGCGAGGUUAACCGAAUAGGGGAGCCGAAGGGAAACCGAGUCUUAACUGGGCGUCUAGUUGCAAGGUAUAGACCCGAAACCCGGUGAUCUAGCCAUGGGCAGGUUGAAGGUUGGGUAACACUAACUGGAGGACCGAACCGACUAAUGUUGAAAAAUUAGCGGAUGACUUGUGGCUGGGGGUGAAAGGCCAAUCAAACCGGGAGAUAGCUGGUUCUCCCCGAAAUCUAUUUAGGUAGAGCCUUGAGCGGACACCUUCGGGGGUAGAGCACUGUUUCGGCUAGGGGUCCAUCCCGGAUUACCAACCCGAUGCAAACUACGAAUACCGAAGAGUGAUACUCAGGAGACACACGGCGGGUGCUAACGUCCGUCGUGGAGAGGGAAACAACCCAGACCGCCAGCUAAGGUCCCAAAGUCUAUAUUAAGUGGGAAACGAAGUGGGAAGGCUUAGACAGCUAGGAUGUUGGCUUAGAAGCAGCCAUCAUUUAAAGAAAGCGUAAUAGCUCACUAGUCGAGUCGGCCUGCGCGGAAGAUGUAACGGGGCUCAAAUAUAGCACCGAAGCUGCGGCAUCAGACGUAAGUCUGUUGGGUAGGGGAGCGUUGUGUAAGCGGAUGAAGAUGGUUCGAGAGGGCUGUUGGACGUAUCACAAGUGCGAAUGCUGACAUAAGUAACGAUAAAACGGGUGAAAAACCCGUUCGCCGGAAGACCAAGGGUUCCUGUCCAACGUUAAUCGGGGCAGGGUGAGUCGGCCCCUAAGGCGAGGCUGAAAAGCGUAGUCGAUGGGAAACGGGUUAAUAUUCCCGUACUUGGUAAAGCUGCGAUGUGGGGACGGAGCAGGUUAGGUUAGCGUACUGUUGGAUAUGUACGUUUAAGUUGGUAGGUGGGAAGUUUAGGCAAAUCCGGACUUCCUUAACACUGAGAGAUGAUGACGAGGCUCUACGGAGCUGAAGUAACUGAUACCACACUUCCAGGAAAAGCCACUAAGCGAAAGGCUUUACUAAACCGUACUGAAAACCGACACAGGUGGUCAGGUAGAGAAUACUCAGGCGCUUGAGAGAACUCGGGUGAAGGAACUAGGCAAAAUAGCACCGUAACUUCGGGAGAAGGUGCGCCGGCGUAGAUUGUAGUCCCUUGCGGAUGAAGGUUGAACCGGUCGAAGAUACCAGCUGGCUGCAACUGUUUAUUAAAAACACAGCACUCUGCAAACACGAAAGUGGACGUAUAGGGUGUGAUGCCUGCCCGGUGCUGGAAGGUUAAUUGAUGGUGUAAUCGAAAGAGAAGCUCCUGAUCGAAGCCCCAGUAAACGGCGGCCGUAACUAUAACGGUCCUAAGGUAGCGAAAUUCCUUGUCGGGUAAGUUCCGACCUGCACGAAUGGCAUAAUGAUGGCCAGGCUGUCUCCACCCGAGACUCAGUGAAAUUGAAAUCGCCGUGAAGAUGCGGUGUACCCGCGGCUAGACGGAAAGACCCCGUGAACCUUUACUAUAGCUUGACACUGAACAUUGAAUUUUGAUGUGUAGGAUAGGUGGGAGACUUUGAAGUAGUCACGCCAGUGAUUAUGGAGUCGUCCUUGAAAUACCACCCUUUAACGUUUGAUGUUCUAACGAAGAUUGCGAAACGCGGUCUCGGACAGUGUCUGGUGGGUAGUUUGACUGGGGCGGUCUCCUCCCAAAGCGUAACGGAGGAGCACGAAGGUUUGCUAAUCACGGUCGGACAUCGUGAGGUUAGUGCAAUGGUAUAAGCAAGCUUAACUGCGAGACAGACAAGUCGAGCAGGUACGAAAGUAGGUCAUAGUGAUCCGGUGGUUCUGCAUGGAAGGGCCAUCGCUCAACGGAUAAAAGGUACUCCGGGGAUAACAGGCUGAUACCGCCCAAGAGUUCAUAUCGACGGCGGUGUUUGGCACCUCGAUGUCGGCUCAUCACAUCCUGGGGCUGUAGUCGGUCCCAAGGGUAUGGCUGUUCGCCAUUUAAAGUGGUACGUGAGCUGGGUUUAAAACGUCGUGAGACAGUUUGGUCCCUAUCUGCAGUGGGCGUUGGAAGUUUGACGGGGGCUGCUCCUAGUACGAGAGGACCGGAGUGGACGAACCUCUGGUGUACCGGUUGUAACGCCAGUUGCAUAGCCGGGUAGCUAAGUUCGGAAGAGAUAAGCGCUGAAAGCAUCUAAGCGCGAAACUCGCCUGAAGAUGAGACUUCCCUUGCGGUUUAACCGCACUAAAGAGUCGUUCGAGACCAGGACGUUGAUAGGUCGGGUGUGGAAGCGCAGCAAUGCGUUAAGCUAACCGAUACUAAUUGCCCGUGCGGCUUGAUCCU